This 1244-nucleotide long non-coding RNA is filed under the name Gouania willdenowi (blunt-snouted clingfish). RNAcentral's name for it is "lncRNA (ENSGWIG00000018169.1)". Lineage: Eukaryota; Metazoa; Chordata; Actinopteri; Blenniiformes; Gobiesocidae. The record is from RNAcentral.
AGCUGCUGUGAAGUUUGUUUUUUUGUUGGAUCAAAACAAAAUUCAGCAUCUCCUGCAGCCACACUCUUGGAUCUGAUUUCCUCUCUAUUACACCACGGAUAUUUGUGGACUUCCACAUCCACUGGCUCUGCAGAAACCCAGCGCGUAGCAGAUGGGGUAAGGGUACCAUCUAGAGUCCAUUCACCCAUCAGCCGCUUUUACGCUAGAACGCUGUAUAUACGCAGAGGAGAGCCAUGCCUCAGUGCAGGCAUGUGACUGAACAAGGACAUUAUGGGUAAAGACAAAAAUCGGGAUAACUUAUCGCUGUUGGAUGUGAAUUCGCAGCUCUAGGGUGUUAUUAGAUCUGCGGGGGCCCUGCAGAGAUAUACAGCGGCAUGGAGUCCUGCAGCUACUCCGGUAUCUUGUUUUAUUCUUACCCCCUGUUCCAGGAGAGCCCGCAGUGUUAUGAUCAUCUUUGCAGGGCAGCCUUACAGCAGAGGGAGAGGCGGCUAUCCUGCGUCCUUACCCAGGCUUGUCUGUAGUGCACCUAGAACCAGGGGAACCACGUACUGCACCUUUUUUUUUUCCUGCCUUGGGACGGAUUAGUUCAGUCACCCGCUAUUGGUGCCUGUAACCCGCCGCUGUCAAAGUGUAAGGAUAAUCCAAUCAAGUGUUUAAAGGCGAGAAGCUAAGAAUAACAGCAAUUACAGUCAAAAGUUUCACAUCUCCUGCGCCGGGGCUGAGGUAAUAGUGCAAAUGAACAAGGCAGGGACCAUGUAUAGUUAGUGGUAUUGAUGAAUUCCCUGCUGGAAACACGCAGCCAAAGACUGGAAUGUGAGCAGGAGGAAUACUAUGGAUCCGAGGUGGGAGCACUGAGAAGAAACACACAGGAUUACAUGGUACCAGGUGCAAGUGUGGAAUGUGUGCAGAAUGAGCAGCACCUUUGUUACACUAGCUGAGGUUCUGGAGGCACGAGGAGGACCUCUGCUGGAGGAGGAGGUCUGGUCUCUGCUGCUGGGCACUGCAGAGUCUUUAUUGGAUGUCUCUUAUAAGGAACACAACAAUAUGUGCAGCAUCAUUAGCCCCGCCUCCCUGCUGCUGUCAGCCACUGGUACCUUGGCUUUUAAGAACUGUGGCCUAUCAGAUGGAGUGUCCACCUUUGCUGCUCCAGAGAUGCUGCAGGGCCGUGCCAGCUCAACCAAACCUGCCACAGAGAGAGUAGGUGCUCGUGCUCCAUCCCUCACACCUGAGUAGAAUUAACAAUA